AUACUUACCUGGCAGGGGAGAUACCAUGAUCACGAAGGUGGUUUUCCCAGGGCGAGGCUUAUCCAUUGUACUCUGGAUGUGCUGACCCCUGAGAUUUCCCCAAAUGUGGGAAACUCGACUGCAUAAUUUGUGGUAGUGGGGGACUGCGUUCGCGCUCUCCCCUU
RNAcentral lists this small nuclear RNA (164 nucleotides) under Castor canadensis (American beaver). RNAcentral describes it as "U1 spliceosomal RNA (ENSCCNG00000013121.1)". It matches the Rfam family "U1 spliceosomal RNA". Rfam says of the family: U1 is a small nuclear RNA (snRNA) component of the spliceosome (involved in pre-mRNA splicing). Its 5' end forms complementary base pairs with the 5' splice junction, thus defining the 5' donor site of an intron. There are significant differences in sequence and secondary structure between metazoan and yeast U1 snRNAs, the latter being much longer (568 nucleotides as compared to 164 nucleotides in human). The record is from Rfam by way of RNAcentral. Lineage: Eukaryota; Metazoa; Chordata; Mammalia; Rodentia; Castoridae.